This 497-nucleotide ribosomal RNA is filed under the name uncultured bacterium. Its description in RNAcentral is "partial 16S ribosomal RNA". It matches the Rfam family "Bacterial small subunit ribosomal RNA", at positions 28 to 507 of the family's 1533-position model. The record is from RNAcentral.
GAUGAACGCUAGCGGCGUGCCUAAUACAUGCAAGUCGAGCGAACGGACGAGAAGCUUGCUUCUCUGAUGUUAGCGGCGGACGGGUGAGUAACACGUGGAUAACCUACCUAUAAGACUGGGAUAACUUCGGGAAACCGGAGCUAAUACCGGAUGAUAUUUUGAACCGCAUGGUUCAAAAGUGAAAGACGGUCUUGCUGUCACUUAUAGAUGGAUCCGCGCUGCAUUAGCUAGUUGGUAAGGUAACGGCUUACCAAGGCAACGAUGCAUAGCCGACCUGAGAGGGUGAUCGGCCACACUGGAACUGAGACACGGUCCAGACUCCUACGGGAGGCAGCAGUAGGGAAUCUUCCGCAAUGGGCGAAAGCCUGACGGAACAACGCCGCGUGAGUGAUGAAGGUCUUCGGAUCGUAAAACUCUGUUAUUAGGGAAGAACAUAUGUGUAAGUAACUGUGCACAUCUUGACGGUACCUAAUCAGAAAGCCACGGCUAACUACGUG